AAUAAGCAACGGGUAUUACAUGUAUCUAAGGAACUUUCUGUAAUUCUGUUUUUGAUAACAAGGACAAUUCUGUGAAUAACUUGUAUGUAAUUUGUAAGAAAUUUUAUUUAUUAUUAUUAAUUUAAUUUAAUUUGCCUUUUUUUUUUUAAAAUCAAUAGUUUAUGGUUUUGAGGUGUGCAUUUUAAUUUAUAAGUAAUGUAAUAGGUUCUUUAAUAUCAAUAUCUUAUACC
Molecule: non-coding RNA, 230 nt
Organism: Cinara cedri
Lineage: Eukaryota; Metazoa; Arthropoda; Insecta; Hemiptera; Aphididae
Source: the annotation of a GenBank genome assembly